GAUGAAGAACGUAGCGAAAUGCGAUAAGUGAUGUGAAUUGCAGAAUUCAGUGAAUCAUCGAAUCUUUGAACGCACCUUGCGCUCCUUGGUAUUCCAAGGAGCAUGCCUGUUUGAGUAUCAUUAAAUUAUCAACUGUGCCAAUUUGGUUACAGAUUGGAUGUGGGAGAUUCUUUUUGCAGGCCUUUGACUUCUCUUUGAGAAAAAAAAUAAAAGGUCGGCUCUCCUGAAAUGUAUUAGCAGUGCCUUUGUUGGUUCAUUAGGUGUGAUAAAUUGUCUACAUCUUCGCAUGAUACCUUCAUUUGUAAAGGUCAUAUUGCUUCUAAAUUGUCUUUGAUUGGACGCAAAACAUAUAUAAUGUUUGACAAACUUGAUCUCAAAUCAGGCAGGACUACCCGCUGAACUUAAGCAUAUCAAUAAGCGGAGGA
RNAcentral lists this unclassified non-coding RNA (425 nucleotides) under soil metagenome. RNAcentral's name for it is "partial contains 5.8S ribosomal RNA, internal transcribed spacer 2, and large subunit ribosomal RNA". The stretch from base 1 to 120 matches the Rfam family "5.8S ribosomal RNA", at positions 35 to 154 of the family's 154-position model. The record is from RNAcentral.